UACAGAGGGGGCGAGCGUUGUUCGGAAUUACUGGGCGUAAAGGGCGCGUAGGCGGCCAACUAAGUCGGACGUGAAAUCCCCUGGCUCAACCAGGGAACUGCGUCCGAUACUGAUUGGCUUGAAUCCGGGAGAGGGAUGCAGAAUUCCAGGUGUAGCGGUGAAAUGCGUAGAUAUCUGGAGGAAUACCGGUGGCGAAGGCGGCAUCCUGGACCGACAUUGACGCUGAGGAGCGAAAGCUAGGGGAGCAAACGGG
Molecule: ribosomal RNA, 253 nt
Filed under: uncultured bacterium
Lineage: Bacteria
Description: partial 16S ribosomal RNA
Rfam family: Bacterial small subunit ribosomal RNA
Source: RNAcentral